AGAGUUUGAUCCUGGCUCAGGAUAAACGCUGGCGGCGUGCCUUAUACAUGCAAGUCGUGUGCCGAUUUAUCGGCACGGCGAACGGGUGAGUAACGCGUAGGUACUUACCUUGUCACGGGCAUAACUCCGCGAAAGCGGAGCUAAUUCCCGAUAAUGUCGCAAGACCAAAAGGUAUUCGCAAGAAUUACCGGGCAAGAAAAGGCCUGCGUCCUAUCAGCUUGUUGGUGAGGUAAAAGCUCACCAAGGCGAUGACGGGUAGCUGGUCUGAGAGGAUGAUCAGCCACAUGGGCACUGAGGCACGGGCCCAACUCCUACGGGAGGCAGCAGUAGGGAAUAUUGCACAAUGGGCGAAAGCCUGAUGCAGCGACGCCGCGUGCGGGAUGAAGGCCUUCGGGUUGUAAACCGCUUUUCUCUGGGACGAAUUUUUGACGGUACCAGAGGAAUAAGAGGUUGCUAACUCUGUGCCAGCAGCAGCGGUAAUACAGAGACCUCAAGCGUUAUCCGGAUUCAUUGGGCGUAAAGCGUACCGAUCGGUGGCUUUGAAAGUGCCGGGUUAAAUCCAGGGGCUCAACUUCUGGUCCACCCGGCAAACUACAAGGCUCGAGGGGCAAAGAGGAAGUCGGAACGAACGGUGUAGCAGUGAAAUGCGUUGAUAUCGUUCGGAACACCAAUAGCGAAGGCAGACUUCUGGGUGCCACCAGACACUGCUAGGACGAGAGCGUGGGGAGCGAAUGGGAUUAGAUACCCCAGUAGUCCACGCUGUAAACGAUGAUGACCAGGCAUGAGAGAGUAUCGACCCUUUUUCGUGCCGAAGCUAACGCAUUAAGUCAUCCGCCUGGGGAGUACGGUCGCAAGACUAAAACUCAAAGGAAUUGACGGGGACCCGCACAAGCGGUGGAGCAUGUGGUUCAAUUCGACGAUAAGCGAGGAACCUUACCUAGACUUGACAUUGCACUGCAAAUCCUGGGAAACCAGGACCUCUUCGAGAGUGUGCAACAGGUGAUGCACGGUUGUCGUCAGCUCGUGUCGUGAGAUGUUGCCUUAAGUGGCAGAACGAGCGCAACCCUUGUCGUCUGUUACUGUGUCAGACGAGACUGCCAGGGUUUAACCUGGAGGAAGGUGGGGAUGACGUCAAAUCAGCGUGUCUCUUACGUUUAGGGCUACACACGUGCUACAAUGGGGUGCAACAGAGGGACGCCAAGUCGCAAGACGGAGCUAAUCCCAUCAAACCACCCCCCAGUUCGGAUUGAGGGCUGCAACUCGCCCUCAUGAAGCCGGAAUCGCUAGUAACCGUGGAUCAGCCUCGCCACGGUGAAUACGUUCUCGGGUUUUGUACACACCGCCCGUCACACCAUGGAAGUGAGUAGUACCCAAAGCUCAUCGCAAGAUGGAUUAAGGUAAGACCCAUGACUGGGGUGAAGUCGUAACAAGGCA
Molecule: ribosomal RNA, 1434 nt
Filed under: metagenome
Description: bacterial SSU rRNA
Rfam family: Bacterial small subunit ribosomal RNA
Source: RNAcentral